Molecule: non-coding RNA, 79 nt
Organism: Podarcis lilfordi (Lilford's wall lizard)
Lineage: Eukaryota; Metazoa; Chordata; Lepidosauria; Squamata; Lacertidae
Source: the annotation of a GenBank genome assembly
AGCACCUCUCUGUGGUGCAGUGGGUCAGUGUCUCUGGCCAUUAACCAGAAGGUUUGUGGUUCAAGCCCACCCAGGGCUG